Molecule: long non-coding RNA, 1846 nt
Filed under: Salmo salar (Atlantic salmon)
Lineage: Eukaryota; Metazoa; Chordata; Actinopteri; Salmoniformes; Salmonidae
Description: lncRNA (ENSSSAG00000101606.1)
Source: RNAcentral
UAUUUCCAUUCUGCUUUAAAGAGGAGGUGGUGGAGGAUGAGGGGCGACCCCCUGAACUACUGGUUAACCUGCCUGGGGUGAUGGCCGGUGUGGGGGUGGUAAUGGGGGCGUUGGAGGCGGUAAUGGGGGCGUUGGAGGCCGUAGAGGAGGAGCUGGCCAAAGCCUCCCCCAAAUUCACUCAGAUGUCCUGCAGCUCCACCACAAGCUGGAGGAGGGGGAGGAGCUGGCUUUGGGGGUGUUGUGUUUGGUGUGGAGGACAUAGUAGAGUCAGAUAAGGACAGAGCUGGACCAGUUGUAUGCUGCAGUUUCCAGGCCAGCAUUCCAGAGGAGUUUGUAAGGUGCUGGGCCGUCGAGAUGGUCUCUGCCCUGGACUCACUGCAUCAGGAGGGCAUCGUCUGCAAGGACCUCAAACCCCAAAACAUCCUUAUCAACAGCAAAGGAAAUCAUGCACAGAACGAGCAGUAUGGCUGGUGGCAUUGUCAUGCUGGAGGGUCAUGUCAGGAUGAGUCUGCAGGAAGGGUACCACACGAGGGAGGACGAUGUCUUCCCUGUAACGCACAGCGUUUGCCUGCAAUGACAACAAGCUCAGUCCGAUGAUGUUGUGACACACCACCCCAGACCAUGAUGGACCCUCCACCCCAUAGGUGACGUUGUUGCCGGUGAUGUCUGGUGAGGACCUGCCUUACCCUGUGCUCACCAAGUGCUCAUUAUAGCCUAAAUUAUGACUAUCCAAUCUACUCAUCACAUUAGGAAUAGUAGGCUUACAUUAGUCUGCAAAUGUGACGAUAGAUGCAUGCAAUCCUUUGUUAUAAAUAUUAUUUUUUAUGGUGAAAAAAAAAAAGUGCUUCCCCAAAACAUGAAACUCAUGCGACACAUUCUAAUAGCUACACUACAAAUCAAAUCAAAUCAAAUCACAUACAUAUUUAGCAGGUGUUAUUGUGGGUGUAGCAAAAUGCUUGUGUUCCUAGCUCCAACAGUACCUAACAAUUCACAACAAUAUGCACAUCUAAAAGUAAAAUAAUGGAAUUAAGAAAUAUAUAAUAUUAGAAUGAGCACACACACAAGUUACUAUCUAGCUAGCUAAUUUUGGCUAACUCAGUGUUGUUGUUAACACCUGGUUAGCAUAACAGCUAAACUCAAAAUACAUUCUACAUCAUACAUCAUUUAAAUGACAAAUUCUUCAGUAGGCUAGUAUUUCAAUGGGUCCCAGUCAACAGCAGUGCCUGUUGGCAUAUGUUAGUAUAGUCAUCUGUGUUGGUCAUCUUGAUGUGACGACUCUGUACGUGUCAUUUCUGGUCACAAGUUGCAGACUUGUUUACGUUUUGCUGUGCGUUUUGUUGCCAACCUUACUUUGCUACCUGACAACUUUAUGGUUUUUACCUUUUAAUUACCGUUUGCAUUUUUUGUUUUUCCCUCACUCAACUUUUUCUCUCCAAACGCUUUAUCUAUACAUGGUUCGUCAGGACCUCCAACAGCCGAAGCUAAGUAGUAACAUUAACAUGAUGUCUUCUAAUUGCAGUCGCUGUACUCAUAAUAUACAGGAGAACAAUCGCUUUACGGCAAGGAUAGCUGUGCUGUAAGCCCAGCUUCAGACGUAAUCGGUAGGCAAGGGUAAUUUCAGUGUAGGAAAGGAUGAAACAGCAUCUGUGCCACCAGUAAGUACAGAUAAUAACAUUAGAAUAAAUCCCCUUGCACGGUCCCCGCAGCCGGAAAACUUUCUCAUGGCUUCUGGAGGGAAAUGCUGUAGGAAUGCUCAACCGGUGUCGCUCAUUCAGCCGACUGAAACUUUCAACGGUUCUCCCCAUUAACCUGUUAGGGCUAGGGGGCAGUAUUUACACGGCCAGAU